AAGCCUGAUUGUUACCGAGGGACACAAUAUAACGUUGUUUUUUUCCUCUACCUGUAUUAUUUCUUCGAACCACUUGUUUAUAUAUAGACUUGGGAGAUGUAUCAUAUCUACGAUAUUAAAGACAAUUUACCUUCAAUCUAAAUCUAAGAAUUUUUAUCAUAGGAAGUCAGGAUAUGUAUGUUCCAUGACAGAACCGUACCUAUAUCGGACGUUGGGCGUAGAGAUUUGUUGCGCUUGGAUAGGUAUUAGUGUUUGAACACAUAACUAGGAGGUAAGUCUAAAGAAUAAUCGAGUAAGACCGGACACACUUAAAAAACACAAACGAAAUGUUACCGGGUUACGUAAAGCCAGCUAUAUAUACACUACGGUAACCAACCGGACCUAGCCUAUCGAUCCAAACUAGCUAAGCCAAUUAUAUACAAAGACAAAGACAAAUCCAAAGGUGUGGAAAACUACGCACACGCACGACGGUAACUCAUUGAACUAGACAAAAGGACCGAUAAGAUACACGUAAAUGUACAUAUCCUAUCAGUAAAACUAAGUCAAUUCUAUACAAGUCUAAAGACAAAUCUAAGGCCGUGGAAAAUUUACACGAUGGUACCCCAUUGGACUAAGGUAAAAUUACCGUUGCCUGGACGUUCACGUACCGGGUGACGAUUAUCAGGAUCUUCGCUAACUUUAACAACGAUAAAACUGAAACAGACGAUGUACCUGACGAUAAGACUAGAGAUACAAAAGGGUAACGAAGUAAGUCAUACAGGUGCAUUUUGGUCUUUAAUGUACGUAAACUUACUACUAUCGAAUCGUGAACUACUAUUUACACUACAACAAAAUACAAUUACACUUUGGGCUAGAUAGCCAACAAUCAAACUUAGUCAUGGGUUCGGUAGGAGGAGUGACGUGAGGAGAGUCAAUAAAUCCAUCAAGAAGGAAGAACCCAUUGUUACUCUUUUGCUAAUCCAACCAAUGUGUCAUAUGAAGUACUAACGCCAUCCGUGUUUUACGAACCGUCUGAUUUUAUUGAUACGGAGUAAAGAUAAUAGUUCGAGAUUCACAUAUAACUCUACGGAAACAUGUUACUUUCUAGGUACCCCAACAAACAAACGAACAUCUAAAAGCACGUCUAUAAACUUAACACGUUUAUAAAUUAAGCUAAAUAUUAAACAACAGAGAACUACAGCGAUUAAAACAUACUCGACCUCCACUGGUAAUAGUGCAAGAAAGAUAAAAAAUAUCUGUUACAAAAGAAAGAUUAUAAAUCAAAAUAAGGUUCUAAUUACUACGAAAGUGAGACAAAAGUCUAACUGUUAAAGCGGCCCAACGGCGGUAGUCCACGGCGCGCGACACUAAGGCCUAGCCGGCAUCCAGCGCAGGUUCUCUCGACCUCACCGACGACGUCACUCCCGUAGUCCCCUUGGGUAGGACGAGCUGGGGGGUGAGAACCGCCGAUAGACAUCUCCUCAUCUCUAGCUCCUACCGAGGGUCAAGCAGCUCCUCUGCGGGCUGUGUAUCCCAAUCGCUCCUCCUCCGAAGGAAGGUACUGCUACGCGUCUCCUCUUCUGUUCUCCUAUACACGACGAUCUAGACUGUACCUCCACGAUAAGUUAGGUAGUCAACGAUCGCCGGACGACACUAAUUCCUCCGGCACAAUAAAACCACACGCUCUCUCUAGAACGUCCGACCGUCUACGAAACUUGUACUCGUACACCCGUUAAACCUAAACAGACUUCUUCUCUGUUUCUUUUGUUAGAGUUGUACGACCAACACGAUCGUAACCGUUCCGAUGCCAUUGCCCCUCACAGUCGUUGAUGUUAAUUAAGUAAAUAGGUACCUUAACCCUAUUGUUUUUCUCCAGAGUUCUUUCUCUUUUAUUGAACACCAAGUUCGUCGUUCUUCUAUCGGUCGGAUUUACUUAGUUUUGUUCUUGUUCGCAGCCAUUAAAUGUUUACUCCUUCACAUCGACCACUACAUUAAUGAAAGUUAUCGCGAAGUCGAGACGUUAGCUGUCAAACUGGAGUACGAUCCCGUCGGAGUCGGUCAACGGAGAAGAUAAUUUCCCAGGGAGUCGAUGAAUACAAAACGAUCUGUUACUCCCAUACAUCUAUCGUACAUACAAAAAAUGUAACAAAACGCGUCCAACUCUACGUAGUGUACUACAAAAGGAAAAUGUAAAUACCCAUAAUGUCUUGGGAAAGAAAAAGGUGUUCCCCGUCAUCGACCCAUAGUAAGUCCUAUAUAUGUGUUUUCUCAUAUCUUGGUUUAAUAUACUACAUUAACUGAUGAUAGAUAAUUGAAGAGUACAUCUGUUACAAGUGUUCAAGUACAUAAUUCAUGUAAAAUAACACAGUGAACACAAAUGAGUAAAAAAUUACGUUCAAAUGACGAUGAGCCUCAAGG
This 2397-nucleotide ribosomal RNA is filed under the name Triticum aestivum (bread wheat). Its description in RNAcentral is "partial small subunit ribosomal RNA". Lineage: Eukaryota; Viridiplantae; Streptophyta; Magnoliopsida; Poales; Poaceae. The record is from RNAcentral.